Molecule: ribosomal RNA, 406 nt
Filed under: uncultured bacterium
Lineage: Bacteria
Description: partial 16S ribosomal RNA
Rfam family: Bacterial small subunit ribosomal RNA
Source: RNAcentral
AUUGAACGCUGGCGGCAGGCCUAACACAUGCAAGUCGAGCGAGCGGCGGACGGGUGAGUCAUGUCUGGGAACCUGCCUGAUGGAGGGGGAUAACUACUGGAAACGGUAGCUAAUACCGCAUACCAUCAGAUGUGCCCAGAUGGGAUUAGCUAGUAGGUGGGGUACCGGCUCACCUAGGCCACGAUCCCUAGCUGGUCUGAGAGGAUGACCAGCCACACGGGAACGGAGACACGGUCCAGACUCCUACGGGAGGGAGCAGGGGGGAAGAGUGGACAAUGGGCGCAAGCCUGAUGCAGCCAUGCCGCGUGUGUGAAGAAGGCCUUCGGGUUGUAAAGCACUUUAAGCGGGGAGGCGUUACCCGCAGAAGAAGCACCGGCUAACUCCGUGCCAGCAGCCGCGGUAAUAC